CUUUUCAAACAUUUUAUUGACAUUUAAUAUACAUGAGGAACGUGGACAAGUUAUAAGGGUACAGGUUUUUUUUGGCCAACCGAACGCUCCCUUCCACCCCUCCCCUGAUUAAGAGCAAUGCCCCAAAGGGCUCCGGUCCCCCGUCCUCGUCACUACAUCCCCAGGGUGACCAUUAUUCCAGCUGCUCAGAGUUUUGCCUGUUUUUACACUUCACACGAAUGGAAGCAUGAGGCUGGGUUCCACCGUGGGUUGAAGCCCACAGCAUGGUUUAAGUUUUGGGAUGUUCCAGUGGCCCCUUCUCACCGCCAGAGAGCCCAGAGGGGUAGAAUGGUGCCUUCCCUGUCCCACAGGCCACGUGGGUGUCAGGACAGGGACUGGAGAGCACAGAGCGAAGGGGGUGGGGGGAGGUAGUUGUGAUUUUUAGAAAAAAGCCACAGCAUCUUUUCCCUUGUGCUGCGUAUCUGGGGCUUCCACCUGGUGUGCACAGAUGGGGAGAGAAGGGGAGCUGCAGAGCCAUAGCAAAGCCUGCCCCAGGGGGUCACCAGACCUCCCACCCCCAGAAGUCCUUACUUCUCCAGGCAGGAUGCUGGGGCACCCACGUCCUCUUUCCUGGCCAGUGAACCUCUGCCCUGCAGGGCUGGCUCCUGUCACCCCUGCUUUUAUGCCCAGUGGGGCAGGACAGGGGAUCCAGGGGCUGUGGUCUUUGUGUGUCCUGGAGCCCCCAGCUCCUGGCUGCCUGGUCUGCCCUCUCCCCUCGCUGAGAGCUGCUGCCUCGCGGAUUCCACUCUUUGUCCCAGGAUUGAGGAGAGGCUUCUUUUCUGGGUGCUUCAAAUCCCUUGGGCCAAUGAGUAUCUGCAGAGAAGGACCCAUUUCCAAUUUCCAGUCCAUCGCCCAUGGCCACCUUGAGUCUCCGUCCUGGAGUUCCCACUGUGGCAUAAUGGGAUCAGCAGCCUCUUGGGAGCGCUGAGAUGCAGGUUCAAUCCCCGGCUCUGCACAGAGGGUUAAGGAUCCAGGCUUGCCGCAGCUGUGACUUAGGGCGCAAUUGGGAACUGCAGCUUGGAUCUGAUCCCUGGACCCAGGAACUCUGUCCUUAUGCUUUGGGGUGGCCAAAAAAGAAAAUCAACAAUAUUCAAUUUAAAUUAAAAAAAAAUGUCUCUGGCCUGUGGUUCAACCCUAAGCCCACAUCCUGGGCUUCUCCUCUGGGGAAGGCUGUUAGGAUCAAGCGAGGUGGCGGCUUUGUCCCAGCUGAGGUCGCCGCCAGCUAUGUAGCCAAGCCUCCCACCCUCGUCAUCCUCUCCUGUCCUGCAGGAAAUCCGUGCUCUUGGCUCCCGCUCCGGGAGAUCUCUGAGUUUGUUCAUCCCCCGACCCCUUGCAGGAGGGGCAGCUCCUCCGUGGUCUCCUGUGGGACCAGCCUCUCCAGAGGACAGCCCACG
Molecule: long non-coding RNA, 1433 nt
Filed under: Sus scrofa (pig)
Lineage: Eukaryota; Metazoa; Chordata; Mammalia; Artiodactyla; Suidae
Description: lncRNA (ENSSSCG00060049072.1)
Source: RNAcentral